UACGGAGGGGGCUAGCGUUGUUCGGAAUUACUGGGCGUAAAGCGCACGUAGGCGGCUUUGUAAGUUAGAGGUGAAAGCCCGGGGCUCAACUCCGGAAUUGCCUUUAAGACUGCAUCGCUUGAACACGGGAGAGGUGAGUGGAAUUCCUGGUGUAGCAGUGAAAUGCGUAGAUAUCAGGAGGAAUACCGAUGGCGAAGGCAGGUCUCUGGGCUGAAACUGACGCUCAUGCACGAAAGCGUGGGGAGCAAACAGG
This 253-nucleotide ribosomal RNA is filed under the name uncultured bacterium. RNAcentral's name for it is "partial 16S ribosomal RNA". It matches the Rfam family "Bacterial small subunit ribosomal RNA", at positions 524 to 776 of the family's 1533-position model. The record is from RNAcentral.